AGAACGAACGCUGGCGGCAUGCCUAACACAUGCAAGUCGAACGCGUGUAGCGAUACACGAGUGGCGGACGGGUGAGUAACGCGUGGGAACCUGCCCUGGAGUGGGGGAUAACCGAUGGAAACGUCGGCUAAUACCGCAUACGACCUGAGGGUGAAAGAUUUAUCGCUCUAGGAGGGGCCCGCGUCGGAUUAGCUAGUUGGUGAGGUAACGGCUCACCAAGGCGAUGAUCCGUAGCUGGUCUGAGAGGAUGAUCAGCCACACUGGGACUGAGACACGGCCCAGACUCCUACGGGAGGCAGCAGUGGGGAAUAUUGGACAAUGGGGGCAACCCUGAUCCAGCAAUGCCGCGUGAGUGAUGAAGGCCUUAGGGUUGUAAAGCUCUUUCGGCGGGACGAUGAUGACGGUACCCGCAGAAGAAGCCCCGGCUAACUUCGCGCCAGCAGCCGC
RNAcentral lists this ribosomal RNA (447 nucleotides) under uncultured bacterium. RNAcentral describes it as "SSU rRNA". It matches the Rfam family "Bacterial small subunit ribosomal RNA", at positions 26 to 518 of the family's 1533-position model. The record is from RNAcentral.